AUGAUGGUGCUUUGUAAAGGGAGAAUACUCCGGGGGAGCAAGGACUCGGCGUGCCGGCUCUGCCGCGAGAGCGGGCAACGGAGGCUGCCGGCAGAGACCGGCGGAGGGAGCGGGAAUCGCCGCGGCGGCGUGCGGAUGGAUGCGCUAUGUCCACCCGCGCGGAGUUGGGAGGGUUUUGCAUGGCAGAGAGGGUCCCUGCCGGCCCYGCGCCGGCUGCGCGCGGGUGGGCGAUGCUGGGGUGCCCUGCGAGGUGGUGGAGGUGGUGGCCCCACCGCCCCUGCGCUCACGAGGUGCAGGAAGGGGACUAGAGUGUUUUAUUUAUUGCAUUACUCCAUGCAGAGACAUAAACUGCCCUUCUCAAGCGCUCCUCUUCUUGCUCCUGCAGCGACGCUUCCUGCGGCGUCGCGGCUCCUCGCAGCCAGCCCGGACGAUUGCUUCCGCGCUCCGUGGGUCUCCUUCAAAAGUCGUAUUGCUCUGCCCAGGGCCUUUUGCACCAGCCUCGGCGUUUUGCAGCUCCCCGGCUCCGUGCGUCGCGUGGCAGCCGCGAGCUCUCGUGAGCUCUGCCGCGGCCUCGGCGGCAAGCGGGGAAAACGGGCGCGGUGGCAGCGCCGACGGGCUUUCGGCAGCGCGGCUCGCCUCCUCUCGGCCCGGGCAGCGCCCGGAGCGCAGCGCGGUCUGCGCAGGGAUUCGGUUACCCGCCGCGCAGCCUGCCAGCGCCACCUUGUCAUUGCAAUUUGUCACACGUAUUUGCGAUGCGUUCAGCAUCUCGCUGCGGGCUCGCUCGCCAGGCGAUGCGUCGCCUCGCUGCUCGUCCGGGGCGGAGAGCGGCUCUGCGUUUGCCGGGACGAAGCCGGGUUUCGGCCGCGCCGUGUCACCCCGGCGGGGUCCGGCAAUACGCCUCCAACCGGGGUAUUGCAGCCCGCCCUGGCCAACCCGCUUUGCUCUGGGCCCAGGAGCCGCGGUCCGGCCUCCGCGCCAGCUCCGGGCUCCAUGGGUGCCAAGGUGGCCCUGGAAAGGGCCGGAGCGCUUCACCGCUCCGUUUCCUCCCGCUGCAAAAAGCCGAAGCACGGCUGCAGGCACUGGUACGGGGACGUGCUGCUGGCUGCGUUUCUCCUACCCCUCCUGCUGUUUUCCUUUCAGCAGCCAAAAACGGGUUUCUGA
Molecule: long non-coding RNA, 1161 nt
Filed under: Apteryx haastii (Great spotted kiwi)
Lineage: Eukaryota; Metazoa; Chordata; Aves; Apterygiformes; Apterygidae
Description: lncRNA (ENSAHAG00000017956.1)
Source: RNAcentral